Molecule: long non-coding RNA, 1036 nt
Organism: Mustela lutreola (European mink)
Lineage: Eukaryota; Metazoa; Chordata; Mammalia; Carnivora; Mustelidae
Exons: 4
Source: RefSeq, a predicted model, not a curated record
GGUCAGCCUGCCAUGUGACUAGCAAAGCCACUGAUUUAGCAUAAGCAAAUGUAUGUUAAGAUGCAUUUUGUGAUCCACCGAUGAGUGGAUCGUCCCCUACUCCUGCAGUUUGAACAAGGCUCGAGAGGGUCAUCUCCCCGCAAACGAGGACUUCCGUGCCACUUGAAGCAAAAAGUGACCUAUUAAAGCUGAAAUGUCUUCGGCUGGAGAACUUCAGAGAAACCACUUCACCUAAAACGAGACUGAAUUUAGGACAUGACUCAGUUUCUUAACACAUUGGGGGAAAAUUUCUUCAAAGAAUGGAGUGAUGUGUGAAAUUAAGAAACAGAAGGAGCAUAAGGAAGACAAUAUGACUCUACUAGUUGAAGGGAGGAUGCUGUUCAACACACAGUGCUUUCAGGGAAGAGAAUACCACUUGGCCGGAGAGCUUUCCCAAGAACUGAGCAAGCCACAUCAUUUUAUAACAAACUAUUUGCUCACUCAGUGCUAUGCACACUCAGCCAGAGAAGAACACAUUAACCAUAUGAGGCCACUUGGAGACAUCACAGGAGAUUUUGGGCAGUGGGACCAUCAUUUGGCUGGUGAUCCUUGGCUCUCCACACUUUGUUCUCCUAGUCCCAGAUGGUAGUAUGAUUUCACAUGCCCAGUGCCUGGCUCUGUCAUUUUGUCCAAACUCAGUAUCAUGAAGUUAAAGUGAUGCAAUUUGGGUGGAACAAAUAAUUUGGAACUUUCAACAUAAAUAAUCCGGGAUCCUUUAAUUAAUGAAAUACAUUUGUGUCUUGCUAUACAAAGGCUCAGUGCAGAACAACUUUGUAUUUCUAUAUCUUCAAAUCUAAGUAACUUUUUAACAAUUUAAAACCUUUGGGUAUUUAACAGUAUUGAAAACCUUUUUUCUUUCUUCAGUAAAAUUCUGUCCGUUCCCUGUUUGUACAUCGUAAAUACAUACAUACACACACACAUACAAAAAUUUAAUUGUUUUAAUAAUGUUAACUGUUUUAAAAGCUAUGUGAUUAGUUAGAGGAUCCUCAUACAUAUA